CAGCAUGCUUGUGCUCAAUUGCAGGGUCCUCGUUCUCGAGUGUGCAGAGGGCGGUGAGAGCUCAACUCUCGUCCCCACCUCCCACCCGCAGCUCCCCGGGUGGGUGAGGGAUGCCCUGGACUGGGGAUAGCCAGGUGGGAGUCCGUCGCUGUGUGGCCUGUGGUCUCGGAGUCUGUUCUCCUGGAGUCUCGCAUUUGCACCCCCUUCUUCGCAGUCCCCCUCCCAUAGACUUGCUCUGGGAAGCGCCUCUGCCUCCGACCCUAGCCGGAACCCCUUCGGGGCCAGAGUUUGAAGCCGUGGAUGUGCCUGCCUGGUGGCUUGUCCGAUUUGCACGGUGACUUGAUUACACUCUCUCAUUCAUGGUCACUUCCGAAGCGCUUUAGUGCCUUCCGUCCCUAAACCGCCAACAGCCAGAACGGCUUCUCCCCGCGGUUUGUCACUGAUCCGCAGGGCCCGGAAGGGCCUUCGUCUUACCCGGGAUCCACCUCUCCCCUCAUCUUCCCUGCCUGCCUCUUCAUCCCACCUUCUGUCCUUGGAGAAACCCCCUCCUCCUCGCUGCCUGCCGGGCUUCGGAGUGACUCGGCAGAGACAGAGGCACAGGGGCUGCCCUGCUGCUCACCGGUCCACCCAUCUGCCUGGUCUUCUGGAGCUGAGGACUCGGGAAACCAUGCAAUUGAGGCAAGCCUUGGGCUGCUUUAGAGGCGCUGACAUCCGAGGAGACUUCUCCUGGGAUUGAAGGAGCAAUGUUUGGAGGAAGCGAAAGAAAGGAAAGGACACAGAGCACAGAGCAGCCAGGCAGAGCCAGGAGCUGAGAAGGGCCCAGACCUGAGGCCUCCCAACAACUCUCUUCUUGGAAGGAUCUGGGAUGUUGCUGAAGGAAAAUAAAAAAAUAUGUAAAAAGAUAACCUUUUGUUUUUCCCUCUCCAGGAAAUAGCCAAAGUUAUUUACAUAUCUUGGGGAGAUUUAGAGUAUAAACUCUAAGAUCUUUGGUAUUUAAGUGUCAACAUCGAUUUAUUUAUUUAUUGCUGAGCUGACAGUAACUGACUCAAUAACAAAUCUAAUCAUGUAUUGCACUGGAAAAGAAAUAUUCUUAUUAUGUAUUUUCUCCAAAUAAUGGCCUACCAUUGCAUUUGAAUACCUGCUGUAAAUAUCAAUAAUAUGAAGUAAUU
RNAcentral lists this antisense RNA (1169 nucleotides) under Pan troglodytes (chimpanzee). The stretch from base 940 to 1169 matches the Rfam family "HOXA11 antisense RNA 1 conserved region 4". The record is from RNAcentral. Lineage: Eukaryota; Metazoa; Chordata; Mammalia; Primates; Hominidae.